UCCGUGGCUCGAAGGACGAACGCUGGCGGCGUGCUUAACACAUGCAAGUCGAACGGACCGAGUUGAUAGCUUGCUAUUGAUGAGGUUAGUGGCAAACGGGUGAGUAACGCGUAGGCAACCUGCCCUUCAGAUGGGGGCAUCCCUGAUAAGCCAAAGAUUUAUUGCUGAAAGAUGGACUCGCGUCUGAUUAGCUAGAUGGCGGGGUAACGGCCCACCAUGGCGACGAUCAGUAGCCGGACUGAGAGGUUGAACGGCCACAUUGGGACUGAGAUACGGCCCAGACUCCUACGGGAGGCAGCAGUGGGGAAUAUUGGGCAAUGGGCGAAAGCCUGACCCAGCAACGCCGCGUGAAGGAAGAAGGCCUUCGGGUUGUAAACUUCUUUACCAGGGACGAAGGACGUGACGGUACCUGGAGAAAAAGCCACGGCUAACUACGUG
RNAcentral lists this ribosomal RNA (438 nucleotides) under uncultured bacterium. RNAcentral's name for it is "bacterial SSU rRNA". It matches the Rfam family "Bacterial small subunit ribosomal RNA", at positions 26 to 507 of the family's 1533-position model. The record is from RNAcentral.